This 460-nucleotide ribosomal RNA is filed under the name uncultured bacterium. Its description in RNAcentral is "partial 16S ribosomal RNA". It matches the Rfam family "Bacterial small subunit ribosomal RNA", at positions 338 to 795 of the family's 1533-position model. The record is from RNAcentral.
CCUACGGGAGGCAGCAGUGAGGAAUAUUGGUCAAUGGGCGAGAGCCUGAACCAGCCAAGUAGCGUGAAGGAUGACGGCCCUACGGGUUGUAAACUUCUUUUAUAAAGGAAUAAAGUGAGGUACGUGUGCCUUUAUGAAUGUACCUUAUGAAUAAGGAACGGCUAACUCCGUGCCAGCAGCCGCGGUAAUACGGAGGAUCCGAGCGUUAUCCGGAUUUAGUGGGUUUAAAGGGAGCGUAGAUGGGUUGUUAAGUCAGUUGUGAAAGUUUGUGGCUUAACCGUAGAAUUGCAAUUGAUACUGGCAGCCUUGAGUACGGUUGAGGUAGGCGGAAUUCGUGGUGUAGCGGUGAAAUGCUUAGAUAUCAAGAAGAACUCCGAUUGCGAAGGCAGCCUACUAGACUGCCACUGACGUUGAUGCUCGAAAGUGUGGGUAUCAAACAGGAUUAGAUACCCUGGUAGUC